Molecule: ribosomal RNA, 498 nt
Filed under: uncultured bacterium
Lineage: Bacteria
Description: partial 16S ribosomal RNA
Rfam family: Bacterial small subunit ribosomal RNA
Source: RNAcentral
GACGAACGCUGGCGGCGUGCCUAAUACAUGCAAGUCGAGCGGACGAAUCGAAAGCUUGCUUUUGAUUCGUUAGCGGCGGACGGGUGAGUAACACGUGGGCAACCUGCCCUGUAGACGGGGAUAACACCGAGAAAUCGGUGCUAAUACCGGAUAACAUGAAAUGUCGCAUGACGUUUCGUUGAAAGACGGCGUAAGCUGUCGCUACAGGAUGGGCCCGCGGCGCAUUAGCUAGUUGGUGAGGUAACGGCUCACCAAGGCAACGAUGCGUAGCCGACCUGAGAGGGUGAUCGGCCACACUGGGACUGAGACACGGCCCAGACUCCUACGGGAGGCAGCAGUAGGGAAUCUUCCGCAAUGGACGAAAGUCUGACGGAGCAACGCCGCGUGAGCGAAGAAGGCCUUCGGGUCGUAAAGCUCUGUUGUUAGGGAAGAACAAGUAACGCAGUAACUGGCGUUACCGUGACGGUACCUAACGAGAAAGCCACGGCUAACUACGUG